GAUAGUUUGGCCGAGUGGUCUAAGGCGCCAGAUUNAGGCUCUGGUCCGAAANGGGCGUGGGUUCAAAUCCCACAGCUGUCACCA
This 84-nucleotide transfer RNA is filed under the name Phaseolus vulgaris (common bean). RNAcentral's name for it is "tRNA-Leu(2)". It matches the Rfam family "tRNA". Rfam says of the family: Transfer RNA (tRNA) molecules are approximately 80 nucleotides in length. The record is from RNAcentral. Lineage: Eukaryota; Viridiplantae; Streptophyta; Magnoliopsida; Fabales; Fabaceae.